AGUAGAAUUGGUGGGUCAUAUAGUAACUAUGUUUAACUUUUUGAGGAAUUGCCAAAUUGUUUUCUAAAGUGACUAUCCCAUUUCAUAUUGCCACUAGCAAU
RNAcentral lists this microRNA precursor (101 nucleotides) under Marmota monax (woodchuck). Lineage: Eukaryota; Metazoa; Chordata; Mammalia; Rodentia; Sciuridae. The record is from RNAcentral.